This 74-nucleotide transfer RNA is filed under the name Nitrososphaeria archaeon. Its description in RNAcentral is "tRNA-Met". It matches the Rfam family "tRNA". Rfam says of the family: Transfer RNA (tRNA) molecules are approximately 80 nucleotides in length. Their secondary structure includes four short double-helical elements and three loops (D, anti-codon, and T loops). The record is from RNAcentral. Lineage: Archaea; Thermoproteati; Nitrososphaerota; Nitrososphaeria.
GGGCCCGUAGCUCAGCAUGGUAGAGCGACCGGCUCAUAACCGGUCGGUCAAGGGUCCAAGUCCCUUCGGGCCCA